GGAAGCAUAGCUCAGUUGGUAGAGCAGCUGGCUGUUAACCAGCGUGUCGCAGGUUCGAACCCUGCUGUUUCCG
Molecule: transfer RNA, 73 nt
Filed under: Firmicutes bacterium CAG:424
Lineage: Bacteria; Bacillati; Bacillota
Rfam family: tRNA
About the family: Transfer RNA (tRNA) molecules are approximately 80 nucleotides in length. Their secondary structure includes four short double-helical elements and three loops (D, anti-codon, and T loops).
Source: Rfam by way of RNAcentral